AUUGAACGCUGGCGGCAUGCCUUACACAUGCAAGUCGAACGGCAGCACGGGAGCAAUCCUGGUGGCGAGUGGCGAACGGGUGAGUAAUAUAUCGGAACGUGCCCAGUCGUGGGGAUAGCGUAGCGAAAGCUACGCUAAUACCGCAUACGAUCUACGGAUGAAAGCGGGGGAUCGCAAGACCUCGCGCGAUUGGAGCGGCCGAUAUCAGAUUAGGUAGUUGGUGAGGUAAAGGCUCACCAAGCCGACGAUCUGUAGCUGGUCUGAGAGGACGACCAGCCACACUGGGACUGAGACACGGCCCAGACUCCUACGGGAGGCAGCAGUGGGGGAAUUUUGGACAAUGGGCGCAAGCCUGAUCCAGCAAUGCCGCGUGCAGGAUGAAGGCCUCGGUUGUAACGUAG
This 401-nucleotide ribosomal RNA is filed under the name uncultured bacterium. RNAcentral describes it as "bacterial SSU rRNA". It matches the Rfam family "Bacterial small subunit ribosomal RNA", at positions 30 to 432 of the family's 1533-position model. The record is from RNAcentral.